This 458-nucleotide ribosomal RNA is filed under the name uncultured bacterium. RNAcentral's name for it is "bacterial SSU rRNA". It matches the Rfam family "Bacterial small subunit ribosomal RNA", at positions 338 to 795 of the family's 1533-position model. The record is from RNAcentral.
CCUACGGGGGGCUGCAGUCGAGAAUUUUUGGCAAUGGGCGAAAGCCUGACCAAGCGAUGCCGCGUGCGGGAUGAAGGCCUUCGGGUUGUAAACCGCUGUCAGUGGGGAGGAAAGCUUUGUGAAGAGCAGAGCUUGACCUAUCCGCAGAGGAAGUGUGGGCUAAGUUCGUGCCAGCAGCCGCGGUAAGACGAACCACACAAACGUUAUUCGGAAUUACUGGGCUUAAAGGGUGCGUAGGCUGCGCAGUAAGUUGGGUGUGAAAUACCUCGGCUCAACCGAGGAACUGCGCCCAAAACUACUGUGCUUGAGGAAGAUAGAGGUAAGCGGAACUUACGGUGGAGCGGUGAAAUGCGUUGAUAUCGUAAGGAACACCUGUGGCGAAAGCGGCUUACUGGGUCUUUUCUGACGCUGAUGCACGAAAGCUAGGGGAGCAAACGGGAUUAGAUACCCCGGUAGUC